Molecule: non-coding RNA, 2038 nt
Organism: Paralichthys olivaceus (Japanese flounder)
Lineage: Eukaryota; Metazoa; Chordata; Actinopteri; Pleuronectiformes; Paralichthyidae
Source: RefSeq, a predicted model, not a curated record
UCUCAGAUCACGUUGUGCAGAGAGAACACAGGGUGAUUUUAUGCUGCACUACGUCCACAGACGACUGGUUUCUCUUGACGUCAGGAGAAAGUCUGAGCGCUGCGCACAAGCUCAGCAUCCACAUCGCUCCCACAGGGAAGGAGACGCGCAUCGCAGCUGCAGAUCGCCAUUUAGCUGUAGUGUGGCGAAUCCGAUCAGCGUUGUAGAAUGCCUCUUGGAGAGGAUGGAAAUGGAUGGAAGAAGAAGACAUCAGACAUCAAAGAACACUAUGACUUCAAAGAAGUACUGGGAACCGGAGCUUUCUCCGAGGUGGUUCUAGCAGAGGAGAAGAGGACCCAGCGGCUGGUGGCCAUCAAGUGCAUCCCCAAGAAAGCACUGGAGGGCAAAGAGAACAACAUCGAGAAUGAGAUCGCAGUACUACAUAGAAUCAAGCACCCCAACAUCGUGUCGCUGGAGGACAUCUUUGAAAGUACAUCUCACCUAUAUCUUGUCAUGCAGCUGGUCUCUGGAGGCGAGUUGUUUGACAGGAUCGUGGAGAAAGGGUUCUACACUGAGAGAGAUGCCAGCCAGCUCAUCCACCAGAUCUUAGAUGCCGUUAAAUAUCUCCAUGAUAUGGGAAUCGUCCACAGAGACUUGAAGCCGGAGAACCUGCUCUAUUACAGCAUGGACGAAGACUCCAAGAUUAUGAUCAGCGACUUCGGCCUGUCAAAGAUCGAGGGAGCGGGCAGCGUCAUGUCCACAGCCUGUGGCACUCCAGGAUAUGUGGCUCCAGAGGUGCUCGCUCAGAAGCCGUACAGCAAAGCAGUAGAUUGCUGGUCCAUAGGAGUUAUUUCUUAUAUCCUAUUAUGUGGAUAUCCUCCAUUUUACGAUGAAAAUGACGCAAAGUUAUUUGAGCAGAUUCUGAAAGCAGAGUAUGAGUUUGAUUCUCCGUACUGGGACGACAUCUCAGAUUCAGCCAAAGACUUCAUCUGUCACUUGAUGGAGAAAGACCCUUUGAAGAGAUAUACUUGUGAGCAGGCACUCCAACAUCCAUGGAUCUGUGGAGACACAGCUCUGGACAAGAAUAUCCAUGAAUCUGUCAGUGCUCAGAUCAAGAAGAACUUUGCUAAGAGCAAAUGGAAGCAAGCGUUUAAUGCCACAGCGGUGGUGCGCCACAUGCGGAAGUUGCAGCUGGGCACAAGUCUUGAGGGACCCAGUCAGAUAACGCCCACCAGUCCCUGCCAUGGACAUCUGCUCCCAGAGGAAGAGGAGGAGGAGGAGGAGGAUUUGGGGAAUGGAGAGGAAGAGAGCUGUGAGUUAUCAGUUCACAGUGAAUAAACAAACACUCGCUUUGAAUCAGAUGUGACUCAAGUAACUAACAGGGAACAUGGAUGGAUGAAUAGAAAGAUGCAUUGAUGCAGAUGGUGUCCCACUACGAGGACGGCCGUCGUGGAAGCAACGAGGGUAGCACAGAUCGGGACAGCCUGAGGAGCUGCACCUACUGCUGCAGGCCAGCCAGUCGCGUUUGAGCACAACCUUCCAUCGCCAUGCUGACAUUGUAAUCCCCGGAGCGCCCAGAGCCCGCCCGCCUGCCCAGUCUGGCCAGGAAUGCAGAGUAGUUAUCAGGCUGUGUCCCACCAGAGUAGGCCCACAGCUAGCAGGCCUCUGUUAUGAUGAAGAGAAACACAUUAUAAGUCUUUGUCCCCCAAAAAGGUUCUCGAGGCUGCUCCAAAAGGACAGAGUUAGUUUUUCUUAAAAGGGCCUGCCUGCAUGAUCCUGAAAUAACCCCCCUUUCAUAGCAACCUAACAUGUAGUUGUCCUUUGCGUAGCCAGAGCAGACAGUGGUCACUCGGCAACAUGUACAUCACAACCGGUCCCUCUGGAUGUUACCAUCAGGAAGCAUCAAAACCUCUGGAGUCCUAAUCAAAGAUGAGGCAGUGGCCCAAAGGAAGUCACCUCCAUUAUUUAUGUCCUGGCAUUAUCUGUCACGUCUACCUCUGAUCACAAUUACUGCACGCCUACAUCCAUCCGGCCCACACACACGUACACACACACACAC